GAGGAAUAUUGGUCAAUGGGCGCAAGCCUGAACCAGCCAUCCCGCGUGAAGGAAGACGGCCCUAUGGGUUGUAAACUUCUUUUGUAUAUGAAGAACGUCUCUUACGAGUAAGGGAGUGACGGUAAUAUACGAAUAAGCAUCGGCUAACUCCGUGCCAGCAGCCGCGGUAAUACGGAGGAUGCAAGCGUUAUCCGGAUUUAUUGGGUUUAAAGGGUACGUAGGUGGCCUGAUAAGUCAGUGGUGAAAACCUGUCGCUUAACGAUAGGCGUGCCAUUGAUACUGUUGGGCUUGAGUACAGAUGAGGUAAGCGGAAUGUGUAGUGUAGCGGUGAAAUGCAUAGAUAUUACACAGAACUCCGAUUGCGAAGGCAGCUUACUAAACUGACACUGACGCUGAGGUACGAAAGCGUGGGUAGCGAAC
This 420-nucleotide ribosomal RNA is filed under the name uncultured bacterium. RNAcentral describes it as "bacterial SSU rRNA". It matches the Rfam family "Bacterial small subunit ribosomal RNA", at positions 356 to 773 of the family's 1533-position model. The record is from RNAcentral.